CUUCUUCUUCUCUCUCUGUCUUCACCAUUUGAACCUUCUCUUUCUUCUGUUCUUAUCUUCUCCUUCUCUAUCCCCCUCUUUCCCCCUUCACCAUUAGAAGCUUCUCUUCUCUCACCUUAUCUCUUCUCCAUUUCUGCAAAAUGAAGCUCCAUAAUGGAGGAGACAAGAACCUCUCAUGUUGCUUACACCCAAACAAACUGGUAGUUGGAGUUUGUUCUCUUUGUUUGAAGGAGAAACUCCUCAUAGUGGCUUCAAAGCAGGAGUAUAAUCAGUAUAGCUCUUUCAGAUUGCAGAAGAAGAAGAUCUCCACCGUUGCCAGAAAAAUUCCAAAGUUCCUUAAACUAAGCUCCUUCCCCAGCUUCUUCGAUCUCCACCGUCCAAAGCAAGAUGAUAAUUCUUCUUCUUCUUCUUCUUCUCAGAACUCCUCCAUUCUUAGCCUUCAAGCUUGAUGGUAGGAAGGGUAUGGUCGAGCAUGGAAAAGAGCUGAAAAUGCUGAGGUGGCGAAAGCUUAUUCGUUAUGUUUUCAAGCUGGCCCAGUGGUCGUGGCCCAGUAAAAAGGGUAGAAAGUGCCACGUAGGAGUGGGUGCCGAUGGGUGAAAACGAAGAGGUAUUGUAUAAGGACGCUAUAUACUUGUUCUUUGAGUAUUUUAUAUUUCAUUUUGCGUGUGUUAUAGUAAAAGAAGUAUUGUAUUGAGUGAGAAUUAACUUUUCUUCUAUUUGGAUGGUGCCAUAAAAAUUCUUGUUCUUCUAUAAUGCGAGCGGUGUUACGUGUUAGAAAAUUUACGACAGUAGCAUUGGAGAACUUUACAUACAAGUUUUAUUUGAAGAUUC
Dendrobium catenatum is the source of this 831-nucleotide long non-coding RNA. RefSeq lists it as uncharacterized. NCBI's taxonomy places the organism in Eukaryota, Viridiplantae, Streptophyta, Magnoliopsida, Asparagales, Orchidaceae. The transcript has 2 exons. The record is from RefSeq and is a predicted model, not a curated record.